UGCAGUCGAACGAUGAACCACUUCGGUGGGGAUUAGUGGCGAACGGGUGAGUAACACGUGGGCAAUCUGCCCUUCACUCUGGGACAAGCCCUGGAAACGGGGUCUAAUACCGGAUAUGAGCCUGGGAGGCAUCUCCUGGGUUGUAAAGCUCCGGCGGUGAAGGAUGAGCCCGCGGCCUAUCAGCUUGUUGGUGAGGUAAUGGCUCACCAAGGCGACGACGGGUAGCCGGCCUGAGAGGGCGACCGGCCACACUGGGACUGAGACACGGCCCAGACUCCUACGGGAGGCAGCAGUGGGGAAUAUUGCACAAUGGGCGAAAGCCUGAUGCAGCGACGCCGCGUGAGGGAUGACGGCCUUCGGGUUGUAAACCUCUUUCAGCAGGGAAGAAGCGAAAGUGACGGUACCUGCAGAAGAAGCGCCGGCUAACUACGUGCCAGCAGCCGCGGUAAUACGUAGGGCGCAAGCGUUGUCCGGAAUUAUUGGGCGUAAAGAGCUCGUAGGCGGCUUGUCACGUCGAUUGUGAAAGCCCGAGGCUUAACCUCGGGUCUGCAGUCGAUACGGGCUAGCUAGAGUGUGGUAGGGGAGAUCGGAAUUCUGGUGUAGCGGUGAAAUGCGCAGAUAUCAGGAGGAACACCGGUGGCGAAGGCGGAUCUCUGGGCCAUUACUGACGCUGAGGAGCGAAAGCGUGGGGAGCGAACAGGAUUAGAUACCCUGGUAGUCCACGCGUAAACGGUGGGAACUAGGUGUGCGACAUUCCACGUCGUCGGUGCGCAGCUAACGCAUUAAGUCCCC
This 792-nucleotide ribosomal RNA is filed under the name Streptomyces sp. Its description in RNAcentral is "bacterial SSU rRNA". It matches the Rfam family "Bacterial small subunit ribosomal RNA", at positions 56 to 869 of the family's 1533-position model. The record is from RNAcentral. Lineage: Bacteria; Bacillati; Actinomycetota; Actinomycetes; Kitasatosporales; Streptomycetaceae.